CGCGUAAAACGAUCCAAAUACUUAUACGGCAUUAGGUCACCGUAGUUUUGUGAGCAGGAUUCGGGUGACGUCCGAACAAUUGCAUUUCACGACUGUCCCGUCGAUGGCGGGAAAAGUUUUUGUAAACUUUGACAACGGGAAACAUUAUAAUAUUAUUGUUAUGUGCUCGUGAGAUUCGGGAGGAACCAACGAGUGUUAUCCACUCGAAUCAACAAGUAUUUUCAAAUUCAAAACUUUUGAACCUAACUUCAUUUUCAUAUUUGCAUUUU
Non-coding RNA from Cinara cedri, 269 nucleotides. Lineage: Eukaryota; Metazoa; Arthropoda; Insecta; Hemiptera; Aphididae. The record is from the annotation of a GenBank genome assembly.